GGGCGUUGAAGCAUGAUCGUAAGGACAUGUGGAGCGCUUAGAAGUGAGAAUGCCGGUGUGAGUAGCGAAAGACGGGUGAGAAUCCCGUCCACCGAUUGACUAAGGUUUCCAGAGGAAGGCUCGUCCGCUCUGGGUUAGUCGGGUCCUAAGCUGAGGCCGACAGGCGUAGGCGAUGGAUAACAGGUUGAUAUUCCUGUACCACCUAUAAUCGUUUUAAUCGAUGGGGGGACGCAGUAGGAUAGGCGAAGCGUGCGAUUGGAUUGCACGUCUAAGCAGUAAGGCUGAGUAUUAGGCAAAUCCGGUACUCGUUAAGGCUGAGCUGUGAUGGGGAGAAGACAUUGUGUCUUCGAGUCGUUGAUUUCACACUGCCGAGAAAAGCC
Molecule: ribosomal RNA, 380 nt
Filed under: Staphylococcus aureus
Lineage: Bacteria; Bacillati; Bacillota; Bacilli; Caryophanales; Staphylococcaceae
Description: partial 23S ribosomal RNA
Rfam family: Bacterial large subunit ribosomal RNA
Source: RNAcentral